GUGGCGGAAGGUUCACACAUGUCAGUCGAACGGCAGCACGGGAGCUUGCUCCUGGUGGCGAGUGGCGAACGGAUUAUGUAUCGGAACGUACCCCGUCGUGGGGGAUAACUCUCCGAAAGGAGAGCUAAUACCGCAUACGACCCGAGGGUGAAAGCGGGGGACCUGUGGUAACCUGGGCCUCGCGCGAUGGGAGCGGCCGAUAUCGGAUUAGCUAGUUGGUGGGGUAAAGGCCUACCAAUGCGACGAUCCGUAGCGGGUCUGAGAGGACGACCCGCCACACUGGAACUGAGACACGGUCCAGACUCCUACGGGAGGCAGCAGUGGGGAAUUUUGGACAAUGGGCGCAAGCCUGAUCCAGCCAUUCCGCGUGAGUGAAGAAGGCCUUCGGGUUGUAAAGCUCUUUCAGCAGGAACGAAACGGUGGGUCUUAAUACGGCCUGCUAAUGACGGUACCCGCAGAAGAAGCACCGGC
Molecule: ribosomal RNA, 471 nt
Filed under: uncultured soil bacterium
Lineage: Bacteria
Description: bacterial SSU rRNA
Rfam family: Bacterial small subunit ribosomal RNA
Source: RNAcentral